GUGGAUUGGCUGCGCCGCUGCACCCGCGCGCUCGUCCCGCCGCCGUCCUCUUAGGCGCGCGCAGCCGCUCGGCCGUCUCGUCGCCGUGGAGGGGUCGCGACGCGCGCGGGGUCUUGCCGGAGUCUUCGUCCGUCCGUUCGUCCGUUCGUGCCCCGCGAUUGUCACGGUCUUCCGGAAGUCGUGGGACCCUAGAGGCCGUGAGGAAUAGCUAAGGCUGAAGGGACAGCCCAGUUGCUGAGUCCGGAGCAGGCCAGGAAGGAGGAAGACGAGAGCAGGGCGGCCUGAGGGACGGGCGGGAGGCGGCGAGCUGCAUGGAGUGAGGCCAGGAAGCCGGCAGGGGACCUUGGACUUGGGGAGGCUGCAGACCCGUGUAAAAGGAGAGGCGGAAACGGUCCACCGAACGGAGGCCGGGCGACGUCACUUCUCAGCGACUGUCAUUCUGCUUCUGUUAGAUUCAGUAAUGCUUCCCCCCACCCACAAGCCCCUUAGCAUCCUUGUCCAACCACUCUAGGUGUCUCGUCCACCAGAUUUCUCAAGCCCUCCAUCUUGUAAUCAGGAUCUCGUGGACGCACCUCCUCUUCACUUCCUAGGGCGAGAGCUGAAGCCAUUCCCUCCACCACACGCCCUUGGAGAACCAGUUUUGCUGCUAGAGUUACUGCAUCCCCAGUUCUCCCAGAGCCUGCCUGGUGCCACAGGCACGGAUGCAGUCCUGGUUCUGCUGGUGAAGUGGUGAAUGAGUGGAGUGCUCGGUGCAGGCGUUGCAGCUCCAGCAGAAGAAGGAAAUGCACGGGAGGGGUCUGAAGAUCUCAGGUGGAAGCUUCUUUGAACAUCUACCACUCAGUUACCCAGGAUGCACUUUGAUUUCAGCCUUUGUCCUUCAUCUCCCAGAGAGAGGCCAUGGGACAAGAAUAAAUUUGUGAACCAGGCUGAAAACUAGGCCCCAGCGACGAGGCCUCGCCCGAGCGUCGGACAGGCUCACGCAGCCCCCGAGCACCCGGCGCUACCGGUCGGCCUCUUGGCCCCGCCCCUCGCCGCGCUGCCGACCAAUCCUGGGCUCCGCUCCCCGCGCGUCACAGAGGCGCCGCUGGGGGGCUUCCCGCAGGCGGGCGCUCGGCGCGGUGUUGCCAUGGGGACUGCAAACAGCCGGGGCCGGGCGGAGAGAGGAGGACUUUCCCUAGAGGAAGCGGCCUCACCUCGGGAGACGCGCACAGGUACCCAAGGAGCAGAGCCCAGGCCUGUCACUGUCUGUCUAUUCAUGGAGUUUGUAAGUGAGCAUGAAGGCCCAUUGACUGAAGAUGUGUGACUUUGUUCCCCUUGGACACUGAGGGCAAUGCAGUACCAAUGCACAACGCAAUGACACACAAGUCUCCAUGGAUUCCUGAAACACAGGAGGCCCAGAAAAUGGGAAAUGUGCUGCAUGGACUAGCAGGAUGAAUUAGAGAUAAAUUGAUGGGACAUGGCAAGUCAAGCAUUUAGCCCUGUGCCUGACAGGCUGAGACUUCAAUUCUGCAAACUCAGAUGGUACAGAUGGCCAUGUGCUCACAUGGCCAGCCCCUUCAGGACUCAAGGAUGAAAAACUAGGGAGGUGUCAUGACAUGUCACGUGGGCUGCAUUGGUGGGAGUCGAGAGGACUUCAGUAUUUCAUUCCAUCUACAUGAUGAGCAAGUAGGACGUGUGGAAGACUCUCCAUAUGUUUUCAGGAAACAUAUAUUAAAAACAAUUAUGAUCUUCAGAUAAAAUAGGUGAAGCUGAAAUGCUGAACCACCAACUGGGAGAGGAGCCAUGAUAAACUAGUAGAGGAGGAAGGGCUCAGAAUGGGCUGCAGGAGGGGUCCCAUCCUGAGCAGCAAAAUCUUGACUGGAUGACCUCAGCGCCUCAGUGUUUCCAUUAACAAACCAUUGAAGGACCACUGCGGGAAGAAAUGAAUCCUGGAGGUGUCUGAAACAUUUUGCUGACACCUACUGGUAAGAUUGAGAAAGUACUAGCAUCAAACCUUGCAGAAUGGGGAGCAGUGGCAUGGGAAAGUAUCCAGAAAGAGAUAGCAGGGUAUUAUGUUCAGAAAUGCCACAUCUGAUGGCACAGAGGAUGGUAUUGUGUGGAAAAAUGUGGGCAUUGAUGUGUCAGAGUCAGAAAGUGAACCUCAACACCUCUCUCUCCGGGUGUGUCUCUCUCACACACACACAUAUACACUCUUUCUGCCCUGGGGAUAAAGUACCUCCCAUGACUGGGCAGAGACUUGAGUUCUUUCCUCUUCUUUCUGUCCCUGGGGGCUGUUGUGACUGGGAAAGCAGCCCAGGAAUCCAUAUUAAGAAUCACUAAGCCCCAGCAGGUGUUUUCACAUUUUUGCCUGCUCUUUGCCUCAAACCAAAUCAGAUCCUUUAUAUUUGCAAUUGAUUAUAUUCUAAUUACACCAAUAAUACAUGAACAUGUUGUUAUUUAAAACAAUGAAACUUGGGCGGCCCAGGUGGUUCAGCGGUUUAGCGCCGCCUUCAGCCCAGGGCCUGAUCCUGGAGA
Molecule: long non-coding RNA, 2514 nt
Organism: Canis lupus familiaris (dog)
Lineage: Eukaryota; Metazoa; Chordata; Mammalia; Carnivora; Canidae
Exons: 11
Source: RefSeq, a predicted model, not a curated record